Molecule: long non-coding RNA, 221 nt
Organism: Pogonomyrmex barbatus (red harvester ant)
Lineage: Eukaryota; Metazoa; Arthropoda; Insecta; Hymenoptera; Formicidae
Source: RefSeq, a predicted model, not a curated record
CCGAACGUCCUUUGUCUACAAAACCAUCAGACUGUCUAGCGUUUUCCUCCUCGACACGGAGCUUCAGGCCGCCUAUGCUGGCUGUGGAUCUAGACUGUGCUAUCGUGGCUGAGGAUUUCUUUUGUUUUAAUUCAGCGAUUCGGGUCCGGAUAUCUCGACAAAUCAGCUACCACAUGAGGGGCUCCUGAGGAGGAAGAGGCACCCUCACCAUACGUCUGCCC